Molecule: small RNA, 28 nt
Filed under: Bombyx mori (domestic silkworm)
Lineage: Eukaryota; Metazoa; Arthropoda; Insecta; Lepidoptera; Bombycidae
Description: ovarian small RNA-30646
Source: RNAcentral
UGAACAAGGAAUUGUUGAUGGACGCGGC